UACAUUAUUUGCUCUUCUUGACAGCAGCAAUAAGUUCCCCAACAUACUCCACUUUUUUUAUUUAUUAAAUCUAUCCCUUGAAAUUUUUUCACUCUCUCAUCAAACCCUCUGCCCAAGCCCAAAUUAAAACCCUCAUCAAACCCUCUGCCCAAGCCCAAAUUAAAACCCUCAUCUUUCCGCCGUCAUCUUCUUCCCUUGAAUCCCUUCUCCAUUGAAUCAAAACACUACAUUCACACUAAUAUUGGUAAAAAUGGGCUCUUUCUCUAAUUAUCCUCUCAUUUUUCUCAAGUUAAAGGGAGAUGUGGAAAAAUUAACAACAUCAAUCAACAAUCGAUUCAACAUAUCUACAAAAAUCAAUAAUUGCAUUCAAGUUUUCCAAAGAUCGAACCCUAAUGCAAGGUCUACUUCAAUUUUUCGAAGGCAGAAAGAAGUUCAACCUCUUGUGCUUAUAGAUCUAGAAAUUAUGAAGAUAUAUUGUCUAAUUGAUGACCUAACUUGCGAUCAAAAUUGAGUCGUAUUUUCGGGUCUCGCCUUUGGGGUAAUUGCUCUGCAUUGGCCGAGAUGGUUGUCGUAUAUCCUUGGAGUUAUUCACUUUUACAAUUCGUAGUUACUGGUGUUUUCUCUCCCUUGUCAAGCUUAAAUGAUUUCAUUACACUAUAUUCUCAAACAAAGGAGAAAUGAAAUGGAGUAUUAAGCGUUGUUGCUGUCACUAUAAUUGUAUAUUUCAUCAAAUUCAAUUAUAUAUUUUUUGUUGCAAUUUUAUGUUGGAUGAGAUUUUUUGUAUAACAUCAAUUAAAUUUAAUACAUUCCUAUUUUCUGUGGUGUUAAAUUGUAACUUGCAAUUUAUGAAUUAUCUGCCAAUUUUUAUAUAGCGUAUUAAAAAAAAAUAUCA
Chenopodium quinoa (quinoa) is the source of this 892-nucleotide long non-coding RNA. RefSeq lists it as uncharacterized. The transcript has 3 exons. The record is from RefSeq and is a predicted model, not a curated record. Lineage: Eukaryota; Viridiplantae; Streptophyta; Magnoliopsida; Caryophyllales; Amaranthaceae.